RNAcentral lists this ribosomal RNA (302 nucleotides) under uncultured bacterium. RNAcentral's name for it is "partial 16S ribosomal RNA". It matches the Rfam family "Bacterial small subunit ribosomal RNA", at positions 511 to 808 of the family's 1533-position model. The record is from RNAcentral.
GCAUAGCCGCGGUAAUACAGAGGGUGCGAGCGUUAAUCGGAUUUACUGGGCGUAAAGCGUGCGUAGGCGGCUUUUUAAGUCGGAUGUGAAAUCCCUGAGCUUAACUUAGGAAUUGCAUUCGAUACUGGGAAGCUAGAGUAUGGGAGAGGAUGGUAGAAUUCCAGGUGUAGCGGUGAAAUGCGUAGAGAUCUGGAGGAAUACCGAUGGCGAAGGCAGCCAUCUGGCCUAAUACUGACGCUGAGGUACGAAAGCAUGGGGAGCAAACAGGAUUAGAUACCCGUGUAGUCCCUGUCUCUUAUACA